Molecule: ribosomal RNA, 253 nt
Filed under: uncultured bacterium
Lineage: Bacteria
Description: partial 16S ribosomal RNA
Rfam family: Bacterial small subunit ribosomal RNA
Source: RNAcentral
UACGGGGGGGGUAAGCGUUGUUCGGAAUUACUGGGCGUAAAGGGCUCGUAGGCGGCCAACUAAGUCGGACGUGAAAUCCCUCAGCUUAACUGGGGAACUGCGUCCGAUACUGGAUGGCUUGGAUUUGGGAGAGGGAUGCGGAAUUCCAGGUGUAGCGGUGAAAUGCGUAGAUAUCUGGAGGAACACCGGUGGCGAAGGCGGCAUCCUGGACCAAUAUUGACGCUGAGACGCGAAAGCGUGGGGAGCAAACAGG